GUGGGGAAUUUUGGACAAUGGGCGAAAGCCUGAUCCAGCCAUGCCGCGUGCAGGAUGAAGGCCUUCGGGUUGUAAACUGCUUUUGUACGGAACGAAAAGACUCCUUCUAAUAAAGGGGGUCCAUGACGGUACCGUAAGAAUAAGCACCGGCUAACUACGUGCCAGCAGCCGCGGUAAUACGUAGGGUGCAAGCGUUAAUCGGAAUUACUGGGCGUAAAGCGUGCGCAGGCGGUUAUAUAAGACAGAUGUGAAAUCCCCGGGCUCAACCUGGGAACUGCAUUUGUGACUGUAUAGCUAGAGUACGGUAGAGGGGGAUGGAAUUCCACGUGUAGCAGUGAAAUGCGUAGAUAUGCGGAGGAACACCGAUGGCGAAGGCAAUCCCCUGGACCUGUACUGACGCUCAUGCACGAAAGCGUGGGGAGCAAACAGGAUUAGAUACCCGGGUAGUCC
Molecule: ribosomal RNA, 450 nt
Filed under: uncultured bacterium
Lineage: Bacteria
Description: partial 16S ribosomal RNA
Rfam family: Bacterial small subunit ribosomal RNA
Source: RNAcentral